CAAUCGGCCCUUUUCAGGGCCAACAUGAUGCGCAAAUCCAACUAA
This is a non-coding RNA of Camponotus floridanus (Florida carpenter ant), 45 nucleotides long. The record is from Rfam. Lineage: Eukaryota; Metazoa; Arthropoda; Insecta; Hymenoptera; Formicidae.